Long non-coding RNA from Solanum verrucosum, 1093 nucleotides. RefSeq lists it as uncharacterized. The transcript is spliced from 3 exons. NCBI's taxonomy places the organism in Eukaryota, Viridiplantae, Streptophyta, Magnoliopsida, Solanales, Solanaceae. The record is from RefSeq and is a predicted model, not a curated record.
GUCAAUUUGUUAGUUAUACAUUGUAUUAUGUUGGAAAAUUCUCUAGAUUGAUGACUGUGUGGAAACAAAUCUGCUCGACACUUUCCUGGAAACAUUGGUUGGUAGAGAUGAUGCUGCAUCAACGACAAAAGCACUUGCACUGCUGGAAGCAAAUAGUGGAAUAGAAGUUUGCCAAAGAUUGUUAAAAAACUGGAAACAAUUGAGGCCAUUGACACAAAAGUUUAUUGCUCUAGUUGCUGAGGUCAAGCAAACUAAUGAACAUUUUUUCAUUGAACAAACUCAAUAAAGCUGAAAAGGAUGCAAGUAUAGAUUUAUAGAGACAAGCCUUUCGUCUCCUUGUCAUGCUAGAAAUAAAGUUUUCAAAAGAAUGGUGUUUUCUUACUUUAGAUGAAGGUAUUGGAUGAAGAAAACGAGGCUUUGGAGGAAUCAAGUGACACAUCGAUAAGGCUCUACAAGAAAACGAAGCACACACAUGUUUCUUGUGGAAAAGCUUCAUCUACCAAGGCCAUGAGGAUUGACUUUCAAGACGAAAUACUUAUGGACAUUCUCAGUAGGUAGGUUACCCCUGUUGCCUCUUCUCCGAUUCAAAUGUGUUUCAAAAAAUUGGAAGACAUUAAUCUCCGAUUCUUACUUUAACAUGAAGCAUCAAAGACAUCACAAGAAUGACUUAAAUUCCCAAAAACUUCUUGUUGCAGUAGAUAAGGUUACCUUCUUUUCUUCUUCUUCCUAAUCGACUGUUCAACUUGUUGAGGAUAUACAAAACCUCGAUUGCCCUACAAACAGGAUACCAGAUCACUAUUGCCACAUUUACGGGUCUUGUAAUGGGUUGGUUCUUGUUGGCAUUUUUGAUCGAUAUGAUAAACAACUUCUGUUGUGGAACCCUUCCAUGAGAGAAUCAACAGUACUUCCUCGUCCAGAAUUUGUAACAAGGUACUCUACUUUUGGAUUAGGAUAUGAUGCAACUAGUGACGACUAUAAGGUCCUUAAGCUAGACCAAGGUUAUUCAGGUGAUAUCCAUCUCCAACCAUCCUAUGAAAUUCUCGCGUUAAAAAGUGGUUCCUGGAGAAAAAUCCGUAACUAUCCAAGUAGAAUU